GCAUCUGUGCAUGCAGCAUAUCAAUAAGCGGAGGAAAAGAAACUAACAAGGAUUCCCUUAGUAACGGCGAGUGAAGCGGGAAGAGCUCAAAUUUGAAAUCUUCAAGGUUUUACCUUGACGAAUUGUAGUUUAAAGAAGUGUUUUCUGUUGAAGUUUUGGUAAAAGUUCUUUGGAAUAGGACAUCAUAGAGGGUGAGAAUCCCGUAUUUGACCAUUAUUUUCAGCUGUGUGAUACACUUUCAAAGAGUCGGAUUGUUUGGGAAUGCAGUCCAAAAUGGGUGGUAAAUUUCAUCUAAAGCUAAAUAUUGGCGAGAGACCGAUAGCGAACAAGUACCGUGAGGGAAAGAUGAAAAGAACUUUGAAAAGAGAGUUAAACAGUACGUGAAAUUGUCAAAAGGGAAGCGUUUGACACCAGUGUUGUUUUCUCGAAAAUCAAUUAAAAAGAGUUAGAUUUUAGUUGUGUAUUGACCUUAACAGCUUGCAUUUCAAUUUUCUUGCUUUUUUUAAUGCACUUUUCGUUUAACAAGUCAACAUCAGUUUCUUUUGUUGUAAAAGGGUCAUUGGAAGGUGGCUUUCUUUCGGAGAAAGUGUUUAUAGCCUUUGAUCUCCUGCAAUCGGAGAGACUGAGGUCUGCAGCGUAGAUCCUUCGGGGUUAGAUACAUUUGUGCUAAGUUAUAGCUUUUUAUAGACAACUUGUUGACUAUGAUUAGUCUUGUAGCUUACUCGCUUAUGCUAUUUUACCUACGCUUAGGAUGUUGACGCGCGUGUGUGCGUG
RNAcentral lists this ribosomal RNA (774 nucleotides) under uncultured Neocallimastigales. RNAcentral describes it as "partial large subunit ribosomal RNA". It matches the Rfam family "Eukaryotic large subunit ribosomal RNA", at positions 24 to 639 of the family's 3401-position model. Lineage: Eukaryota; Fungi; Neocallimastigomycota; Neocallimastigomycetes; Neocallimastigales. The record is from RNAcentral.